GUCCAGUCAGAACAAAGCUAUUGAAUCUGCAGCAUUCAUUAAUGCGCCUCUGCCGAAGGAGCAAGUUCUGUUCUACUGGAC
This is a non-coding RNA of Soboliphyme baturini, 81 nucleotides long. The record is from Rfam. NCBI's taxonomy places the organism in Eukaryota, Metazoa, Nematoda, Enoplea, Dioctophymatida, Soboliphymatidae.